GUGCCAGCCGCCGCGGUAAUACGUAGGUGGCGAACGUUAUCCGGAGUGACUGGGUGUAAAGGGUCCGUAGGCGGGCUGUCAAGUCUGACGUGAAAGCGCCCGGCUCAACUGGGCGAGUGCGUUGGAAACUGACGGUCUUGAAUCACGCAGAGGUCGGCGGAAUUCCCGGUGUAGUGGUGGAAUGCGUAGAGAUCGGGAGGAACCUCGAAAGCGAAGGCAGCCGACUGGGGGAUGAUUGACGCUGAGGGACGAAAGCGUGGGGAGCGAACAGGAUUAGAAACCCGCGUAGUCC
RNAcentral lists this ribosomal RNA (292 nucleotides) under uncultured bacterium. RNAcentral's name for it is "partial 16S ribosomal RNA". It matches the Rfam family "Bacterial small subunit ribosomal RNA", at positions 505 to 796 of the family's 1533-position model. The record is from RNAcentral.